RNAcentral lists this ribosomal RNA (303 nucleotides) under uncultured bacterium. RNAcentral describes it as "bacterial SSU rRNA". It matches the Rfam family "Bacterial small subunit ribosomal RNA", at positions 355 to 650 of the family's 1533-position model. The record is from RNAcentral.
UAGGGAAUUUUCGUCAAUGGGCGCAAGCCUGAACGAGCGAUGCCGCGUGAGUGAAGAAGGCCUUCGGGUCGUAAAGCUCUGUUGCGGGGGAAAAAAGGCAGCAUCAGGAAAUGGGUGCUGACUGAUGGUGCCCCGCCAGAAAGUCACGGCUAACUACGUGCCAGCAGCCGCGGUAAUACGUAGGUGGCGAGCGUUAUCCGGAAUGAUUGGGCGUAAAGGGUGCGCAGGCGGUCCUGCAAGUCUGGAGUGAAACGCAUGAGCUCAACUCAUGCAUGGCUUUGGAAACUGGAGGACUGGAGAGCA